AGUGGUACGCGAGCUGGGUUCAGAACGUCGUGAGACAGUUCGGUCCCUAUCCGUCGCAGGCGUAGGAAAUUUGAGAAGACCUGUCCUUAGUACGAGAGGACCGGGAUGGACGUACCUCUGGUGUACCCGUUGUCCUGCCAAGGGCAUGGCUGGGUAGCUAUGUAUGGAAUGGAUAAGCGCUGAAAGCAUCUAAGCGCGAAGCCAACUUCAAGAUAAGAUUUCCCACCGCAAGGGUAAGACCCCAGAAAGACUAUCUGGUUGAUAGGUCGAAGGUGUAAGUGCAGCAAUGUAUUUAGCUUAUCGAUACUAAUAGGUCGAGGACUUGACCAA
Molecule: ribosomal RNA, 330 nt
Filed under: Clostridioides difficile
Lineage: Bacteria; Bacillati; Bacillota; Clostridia; Peptostreptococcales; Peptostreptococcaceae
Description: bacterial LSU rRNA
Rfam family: Bacterial large subunit ribosomal RNA
Source: RNAcentral